This 61-nucleotide transfer RNA is filed under the name Sinohyriopsis schlegelii. Its description in RNAcentral is "tRNA-Gly". Lineage: Eukaryota; Metazoa; Mollusca; Bivalvia; Unionida; Unionidae. The record is from RNAcentral.
AUGUUGAUAGUAUAGCAGUACAAUUGCCUUCCAAGCAAAAAGUCCAAUUUUGGCCAACAUA